This 478-nucleotide ribosomal RNA is filed under the name uncultured bacterium. RNAcentral's name for it is "partial 16S ribosomal RNA". It matches the Rfam family "Bacterial small subunit ribosomal RNA", at positions 28 to 523 of the family's 1533-position model. The record is from RNAcentral.
GACGAACGCUGGCGGCGUGCUUAACACAUGCAAGUCGAACGGUAAGGCCCUUCGGGGUACACGAGUGGCGAACGGGUGAGUAACACGUGGGUGAUCUGCCCUGCACUUCGGGAUAAGCCUGGGAAACUGGGUCUAAUACCGGAUAGGACCACUGCCUGCAUGGGUGGUGGUGGAAAGCUUUUGCGGUGUGGGAUGGGCCCGCGGCCUAUCAGCUUGUUGGUGGGGUGAUGGCCUACCAAGGCGACGACGGGUAGCCGGCCUGAGAGGGUGACCGGCCACAAUGGGACUGAGAUACGGCCCAGACUCGUACGGGAGGCAGCAGUGGGGAAUAUUGCACGAUGGGCGCAAGCCUGAUGCAGCGACGCCGCGUGAGGGAUGACGGCCUUCGGGUUGUAAACCUCUUUCAGCACCGACGAAGCGCAAGUGACGGUAGGUGCAGAAGAAGGACCGGCCAACUACGUGCCAGCCGCCGCAGUAA